Trichobilharzia regenti is the source of this 46-nucleotide non-coding RNA. The record is from Rfam. NCBI's taxonomy places the organism in Eukaryota, Metazoa, Platyhelminthes, Trematoda, Strigeidida, Schistosomatidae.
GUACUGAUGAAGAGUCCAUAAUUAGGACGAAACAGCUGUCCAGUAC